Molecule: ribosomal RNA, 486 nt
Filed under: uncultured bacterium
Lineage: Bacteria
Description: partial 16S ribosomal RNA
Rfam family: Bacterial small subunit ribosomal RNA
Source: RNAcentral
GGUGAACGCUGGCGGCGUGCUUAACACAUGCAAGUCGAACGAGAACGGGUUAUAGCUUGCUAUAAUUGUCAGCUAAGUGGCGCACGGGUGAGUAAUGUAUAGGUAAUAUGCCUCUUACUAAGGGAUAACAAUUGGAAACGAUUGCUAAUACCUUAUACUCCUUAUUAACUAAAGUUAGUAAGGGAAUGAUUUAUUGGUAAGAGAUUAGCGUGUAUUGUAUCAGUUGGUUGGUGGGGUAAUGGCCUACCAAGACUAUGACGCAUAACUGGUUUGAGAGGAUGAUCAGUCACACUGGAACUGAGACACGGUCCAGACUCCUACGGGAGGCAGCAGUGGGGAAUAUUGCACAAUGGACGAAAGCCUGACCCAGCAACGCCGCGUGGAGGAUUGAAGGCCUUCGGGUUGUAAACUCCUUUUACGGGGGAAGAGGAAGGACGGUACCCCGAGAAUAAGUCACGGCUAACUACGUGCCAGCAGCCGCCGUAA